UGAGAGAGGUUGCAAUUUUUAAGAGUAAUACUUAUAUUAAUCAGAUUAUUUUAAGUAUGAAAGGAAAAAUUGCCGAAAUCUGAAAGAAUAUCUGUAACUUUCAGGUUGGGCUAAUGCAAAAUAUGUAUUAGACUGUCAUAGUUUAUAGCUAUGGAGUGCUGUC
Molecule: non-coding RNA, 163 nt
Filed under: human gut metagenome
Also listed under: 1 other name
Description: Lysine riboswitch
Rfam family: Lysine riboswitch aptamer
About the family: Riboswitches are metabolite binding domains within certain messenger RNAs that serve as precision sensors for their corresponding targets.
Source: RNAcentral